UACAGAGGUCCCAAGCGUUGUUCGGAUUCACUGGGCGUAAAGGGCGCGUAGGCGGCGCGGGGAGUCAACGGUGAAAGCUCGGCGCUCAACGCCGAGUCGGCCGUCGAUACUCCCGUGCUCGAGCACUGUAGAGGCAGGUGGAAUUCCGGGUGUAGCGGUGGAAUGCGUAGAGAUCCGGAAGAACACCGGUGGCGAAGGCGGCCUGCUGGGCAGUAGCUGACGCUGAGGCGCGACAGCGUGGGGGGCAAACAGG
This 253-nucleotide ribosomal RNA is filed under the name uncultured bacterium. Its description in RNAcentral is "partial 16S ribosomal RNA". It matches the Rfam family "Bacterial small subunit ribosomal RNA", at positions 524 to 776 of the family's 1533-position model. The record is from RNAcentral.